CGUAAGUAUUAGAUGGAUCUGGUUUUUGUGAAGCAAUUAAGGUAAAGCAAUUACUUGACAAUUUGCUUGGUCUCCGAUCCUUUUCAAAUUCCCAUAUAUUGAAAAGCUUCUUAAAAGUUAAAAUAUUAUUUUAAAAAAGUAUCACAAACAAUUCUAAUUAUAUACAAAAUUUUGCCCAACACUGCCUACCAGUAACAGCAGCAAUGCGAUUAUCGGAUUUUCUAAAUCCAUGACCUAAGUUCAUUUAUUACGGAGUUGUCUCGCAACUUUCCGAUAAGCGUUGACUUGUUAAAACGAAACUAUAUUUCCUACGAUCUUUGUGACUGCAUUUAAUUCAUCUACAAUAUUUCGUCAUUUUUCAAUAUGUUAGUUCAUAUGUUCACAUAUCACACAUAUAAUACAUAUAUUACAAUACUUUGAUUACAGAAGGAGGAGCAACUAAAAACUACUAACAGACCUCAGAAGCAAGGUCAAACUGGUUUGUUAUAUAUAAUAGAAACAGAAUACUGUUUUUAUGUGUAUAUAUUAUAUGUAUUACUUAGCGCUUUCACUAUCACCGUUUAAGGAAAAAGUCACUGUUCAUAGCUCAACAUUCAAAAUUUUUAAAUUUUACAUAAUGUGACAUAUUUUUACAUAUAUAGUAAUAAAAGCUGCCAAGUAGACAACGCGAUUUUUAGAAUCGCACACAUAUGUGUAACGCUGAGCUGUGAGUAGAUUGCUUCUUCUACAAACCACUUGUCACACAUAUCUAGAUAUGUAAGGUAUUGUAUUGUUACCUAUUUAACACACACGAUACUACUGAGACAAAGUCAAUAUACGAGUUUCGACGACGGACUCAAUAAGGACGGAAACCUCCAUGUUUACAUUUUUCUGUCGACCGUUCGAGAGAUUUGCGAGUGUUGUGUUACAAUGUCUCAUGUUAGACGUGUGGCUAUUUGCACAAAAUUUGAUAUUCUAUGUAUUCCAAACAAUUUUAUGUACAAUCUUUGUCAAUCGAGAAGAAAAGUUUAAAAUAAGUGAAACAAUGUGUUGCAGUGUCGGAUUAAUGAUAAUUUGGCGUUGUUAUAAUAUAUAGAAAUGGUAUCUUAAACGAAAAUAAAUAAGAUUUAUCCUAAAGAAAAUUGAAACACAAUAUACGUAGCAUACGGUCACGAACGAGAAUAUUGGCACACUGUUAAAGGGUGAAUAACUUUUUUUAAAUUGGAUUAAACGAUUUGAGCCUUUUUGAGAAGUGAGGAGGAUUAGUUUAUCAGAUGAUGUGGAAAAAGAUCUUUGAAAAAAUUGCAGUUGAUCGGAAUCGCAAAGGAAAUAGUGAAGGCUGUAUGGAGGAGUUCAACAGCUGCGAUGAUGGAAAUUUGGAGAAUGGGAAUGUAAGUUUGGAGGAGAUUACAAAAGACAUAUUUAAGACAUAUUUAACGUCAUGGUGAAGAGUAUAAUGAAAUAUGGGGGACAGAAGAAAAAAGAGAAAUAGAAGCAGUACAAGAAAGGUAUCUAAGAGCAGUAUUAGUGACUGGAGAGGUGCACACCUACAGUAGGAUAUUUAGACAAGAAACGAAGACGGAGAAAAUACUUCUGGGGUCAGGAGAAAGGUACAUAAAAUAUGGAGAUAUGAAGAAGAGAUUAGAAGAUCAGAAAACUCACUACUUGAGGAGUGCAGAAGGGUCAUUGAUAGGGAAAAAUGAAAUAACAUGAGCCAUAGAAUAGCAAGAGAGAGAUUUAAAGGAAAAUAGGAACGAGCAGAUGGGAAAUGGAAAACAGAAAUAAUCUUUCGUUUAUUACAUAUACAUGUAAGUGUGAUUUAAACUAUAUCAUGUUUAAUCUCAUUUUAAUCAGAAGAAUGUCGCAAAUGCGUGGGUAUAAGAUUAAAUUCGAGAAAAUCGAAAAUAAACAAGUUCCAUCAUCGUCUCACGGAUAAUUAGUGAUUUUUCAUAGACCAUUGAAUACAAUAGAUCAGGUUACGCUACUCAACGUCGAGCUCCGUGCUGUGUUGAAGCGAACAACAUUAGAACCGAUGACGGCCUAUCAAUUAGGAAGAAAGAAAGUAUGUACCUACGAAAGGAAGGGAAAGUCAAGAAGAUAAAGAUAACAAAGUUAGGUUCGGAUUAGGGAACGAGUGGAGGAUGAGUAAACUCCGGAUGAGGAGAAGAAGGAAUGCGGUAUAUAUGGGAAGGGGGAGGGAAUAGGAGAACACGUUAUAGCGCAAUGUGAAUAUACAACAAUGGGUGAACGAACAGAGAUUCUUAUCGAAUAAGAGGCUAAUGGAAUAGGAUGGAUGAAGAAGGUGACGGAUAAAAGAGGAUGAGUAAAUGAAUCCCAACAGGGAACAGGAGUCUAUAAUACAUUUUGGUCAACAUCGAGCGAACAGUAUAAUAUGAUUCUAAAGUCCCUGUAGAUCAUUUUACUACACGCGGAUUAUAGAUUACAUCGCAGUAAGGGAAGACGACGUAAUGUUGAAGACAAGAAGCGUGUUAGGCGUUUGGAAUUUUUUUUACUAUUGUUCAUCCUUGUCCUUAAUUACUUCGCUUUGUUGUAAUAAGUACUGAAAUAAAAUGUAUUACUACGACGUAGUAUAACCUACAAACCGAUUUAUCUCGAAAUGUGCUAAAUGUGCUCUAGACCUGUAUUACAGGUUGGUAUUCAAAUAUUGGAGAUAUAAAGAUGUUUACUGAUGCAAACUGAAUGAGACAUAAAAUGGAAUUAUGUAGGAUAUUUAGGAUGCAAUUACACGUAAUAAUAUGCAAAAGCGAUUCAAUGUAUCCCGGGAGGGUUUUGAAAUGAAAAAUAAGCGUAAUGUAAAAUGGAAAUAAGUAGAGCUUCCUUAUUCAGAACACAGCAUUUUCCAGUAACGAAUGACUUUUCCCUUUCAAAUAUGUACAUAUUUUAUUAUUGCCCGUACAAAAUGUAUUCUUUCCCUUAUUCGAUCGAAUGGAUUUUGAUUAUAAGAACUUAGUACGAAAGUAAUAUCGUUCCAUCUGUCGAGACAAUAUACGACAUAUUUAAAAACCUCAAAGCUGCAGUAGGUACAACAGAAUUGGUAAAUGUACAUGAUGCUGGGAAAAUCACAAUCGCGAAUAUUAAAAAACAAAGACAUGAUACUGAUUUCAAUUAUUUGAAGCACGUAGAUCCUUCGAGUGCUGGCAACGGUAGGAUAACCUCAAAUAUACUGAUGCAAUGAGAUGGUUUCGUUACGAUAAAGACGAUAAUAACGAUGAUUUUAUACAAAGGGAGACAGCAAACGAAAGUGUCUUCUCAUACCGAUGCAUUCGUGGUAUUCGAAAAGGAGCUUCGAACGUUCGAAGUAGAAAAAGAACGUGGCUUUAUGAAGUUCCUUAUGUUCAAUGAAUUAUGCGACUUGGCAGGCAAAAAAUUAGUAAGGUUAUAUAAUAAAUAUAAUAAAAUAUAAUAAUAUAAAAUAUACUAAAUAUAAUAAAAGGUAAUAAGGAUCCAUAAAGAUUCAAUUGAUCCUAAUUCGUAUUUGAAUAAGUGAAAUUUCAUAUGAGAAAAGUAAUUGUUCCAUUAUCCAAAUACUUCAUGAUUCGAACAGUUUCGUCUUGCUGUUCGUUCGGAUAAGGAAGGUUUCUACUUUGUAAUUAUCAACAAAUGGCUAUUCAAUUUCAAAGUUUUAGUGGACCAGAUGUUCAACACACUAAAUAAAUACUACUACUACUACUACUAUUAGUACUACUAUAUUACAGUACCUGAGUAAUAUUAAUUCUGAAAAGAGAUGGAUAGAUAUCUGGAAUAUAAUUUUUAGAAUUUCUUAACUAUAGUCCGAUAACGAUUAAAAAAGAAAGCGUGGAACAAAUAAUUUCUUCGUAAUGUUUCUGUGAACUGACUGAACGUGAUAAAUAACAAAUGAUUACUGAUAAAAAUUAUGUAUAUCAUCGUUUUUACAAUUAGUCAGUUGAUUAAUCUUUUGUUGCCAUAGUAUUACAAGAUUUAGACGUUUCUCCAACUGCAAUCAAUUACCAAACUUAAUGGGACAAGUAAUCCGUCCAGUUUAUUAAUUUCAGCAUUUGCCGCAGCGAGCGUUGCACAAUUUGAUAAGUAGAAGAUAAGAAACGUCAAAGAAGUCUCUUUCAAAGUCACUUUCAAAUUCUUCGAACUGAAUUCUUAAUUUCGUAUUAUAAAAAAUUAUUAAUUUCGUAUUUUCCUAAUAACUUUUCCCGCAUUUCCAACGAUUUCGUGUUUACUUUAAAUUUCCUAUUGGAACAAAACUCGCUUAUUUUCCAAUGCAGUAUUUUUCGAAAGAUCAGAUCCGCGAUUGGAAAUUUUUCUACCCUAAUUGCGACACAGUAUUUUCAUUUCCUGUAUAUGUCAAUUAUAUCUAAUCACAUAUUUAUGAAAUACCAAGCUUGUAAUGGGCGAAAGUAUAACGCAAGAAAAAUAAUAAAAUACAAAAAAAAAAAAAGAAAUUUUAUUCCAAGUCAAACCGACAACCUUCGAUUAACAUUCUUUUAACGAUACAUAAUUAGCUUUUAAUCAGAAGAAAUUUUUUUCAAGUUUCUCCUGGACUAUGUUAAUUUCGUUAUCGAUGAUCUGUACAAAGUGACACUCGUAUCUGGAGGGAUCUUGAAUAUCGCUUGAUACAGCCUCUGUUUCACUGAUCGUACUCGAUCAACGAAUUCCGAACAGAGAAAUUAAAGCGGCGACGAAACGAAGGCAAAUGAAAGUAGACCGUCAUCGAUUUAAAAACGACAAGAUCGAAAUCGCGCUUCCUUUCUUCGUGCAUUCGAUACAUGAAAGUAACGUGACUUCCUCAGUCGUUAAGAAAGAAAACUUUCGCGAUACGAAUAUCGGUCUGCUUGUUCCUAAAAGGAAUCUGUUUUGAAUGGUAUAUAAACCGUAUAAGCGUAUACGAUUACUGACAUUAACAUUUGGACAUUCUUUGAAACAGAAUAACAUCUUUUACAAUUCAACCAGACGACUUGUUUUUUUUAGGAAGGGAGGAUUUUAUUAAUAUAAAGAGAAGAUUGGUACUGCAAGUAUAUAUUUUUUAAAUAUGCUUGCAUUAAUAUUCGAAGUCUUCCCAUCAAAUUAGAAAAAAUUUUCUUUUUUAAUUCGAUUUAUAAUUAAAAAAUCAAGAAAUUUGUAGACGUGCUUAUCGCUGGAUAAAACGGUUCUAGGUUUGAUAAUGACAAAUAUCAAUUUCAUAAUUUCGUAUUGUACGAAGGAAAAAGAAAAGAAAGGAAGAGAAAAGAAAGAGAAGAAUAAUGUAAUCACAUGGCAAAUAAUGAAGAUUGUAAAGAAUAAAAUUGCUGCAGUUUGACUCAUCUAUGACGUUGUAAUUAACAUGCACCUUAUCAAGUGCGAAAAAAUAUUCGGAUAUUCUUCAGAGAGUGAAGUGUAUUUAUAAAAAGAAUGGCAAAUCUAAAAUUAAACUAAACUACCAUUAAGAGACAUUCAGAAAGCCAUCGUUCUAUAUAUAUAUAUAUAUAUAUAUAUAUAUAUAUAUAUAUAUAUAUAUAUAUAUAUAAUGCUAUCUUUUACAUUUCGCAUUCGUCCCCGUCACUUUUUUGUAUUUAGAGAGAUAUCUGUAUAGCCGAGCUAUUAAUAUCCAAUUUCGUAAAUGGCGAGAUCGACUAAUCGAUAUUAUAAAGCGGAGCUUCCUCGUUUACGGGUCGUGACCCCAUGUGGGGUCGUGUAACAGAAUUAUGGGACGGGGGAAAUUUUUGCAACUGCUACACACCAGAGAAAUAAAAAUGUCAAUGACCUGUCAGCAAAGGACGAAGAAGAAUUUACCAUAUUAUUAAUCGACAUGGGUAUAAAACAGAAUUUUCAACAAUUUUUAAAAUGAUCUUGAACACGCUUAUGAUAUUUUAUAUUACAUAUAUAAUAAUGUGAUUCAACAACUCUGUUUAAAUAAUAUCUGAUGCUAAGUAAAUUGGUCAAAUGUAUUAGUAUUCAGUCAUAUUAUCACAAUAAUUUACAAUACUAAUAAUGUGCUGCAAAUAUAUUAUUAAUAUUAAUGCAACUAUUCAAAUUUGUUAACGUUCGACAAAGUUAUUUGAAUAAUAUUUCAUGCUAAAUAGAUCCCGCAAAUUUAUCAGUAAUGUUUAAUACAUAGUACUAUUCAAAUUUGCUUACGUCCAACAACUCUAUUUGAAUAAUAUCUGAUGCAAUUAGUAUUUACCUACACUAUAACAAAAUCCUAUUAAUAAUAUUAAUGUACUAGUAUUAUUAGUAGUGUUAAUACCAUUAAUUAAAUUUGUUAAUGUUCAGAAAGUAUAUUUGAAAUAAUGUCUGAUAUUAAGAUAUAGAUCCCUCAAGGGGAUCAAUUAGUAUUCACCUACACUGGAAAAAAAAUCUAUUAACAAUACUAAUGCUAUCUCUCAAAUAUAUUAGUAAUGUUAAUACUAUUAUUCAAAUCUGUCUCAGAUUCAACAACUCUACUUGAAUUAUAUCUGAUACUAUAUAAAACCCUUAACUGUAUUAGUAUUCAGCUAUACUAUCACAAAAAUCUAUAUAGUUUAUAUACUAAUAAUAUUCGCCAAAUAUAUUAGUAAUAGUAAUACUAUCACUCAAAUUUUUUAACGCUAAGCAGUUCUAUUCGAAUAAUAUCUAAUAAUAAAGCAGAUCCCUCAAAUCUACUAGUUUGUAUUCAGUCAUACUAUUACAAAAAUCUAUAAUAGUAGUAAUAUCCUUCAAAUAUAUUAGUAUUCAACGUUAUUAUUAUUAUUCAAAUUUGUUAAUAAUCUGAAUAUUAAAUUCUCGCCUGAAUUAUGUAAUAAAAAUUGUAAAUGAGUAAUUAAUAAUAACAUGAAAAAAUGGCGUCUUUAUUAUCGACAGUUGUAAAAUGAAAAUAUCGAUUAACUCUGAGAAACAUUGAACAUACUCUGUUAUAUCAAAUAUUCAGCCAGAAUUUAAUUCUUUAUGCAAAAAUAAACAAGCACAUCUGUUUCACCGAUAUGCAAAUUUAAUUCUGCUCUAAUAGCUGAUAAUAAAUGAUACAAUUAUAAAUGUAACAAAGAAUUGUUUCAAAUUAAAUUUCUCUAAUUUAUUCUCGAUUAAUGUUCUAUUUGUACAGGGUGGACAAUAUAUAACUGACCAAUUUCAAAGUCCCGCCAUUCCGAGACGAUGCAUCAUCUCCUGUUCAGCUUUAACAAUCGUAUCAUAGACGUA
Bombus terrestris (buff-tailed bumblebee) is the source of this 7122-nucleotide long non-coding RNA. RefSeq lists it as uncharacterized. The record is from RefSeq and is a predicted model, not a curated record. The transcript is spliced from 3 exons. Lineage: Eukaryota; Metazoa; Arthropoda; Insecta; Hymenoptera; Apidae.